RNAcentral lists this ribosomal RNA (440 nucleotides) under uncultured bacterium. RNAcentral describes it as "partial 16S ribosomal RNA". It matches the Rfam family "Bacterial small subunit ribosomal RNA", at positions 338 to 795 of the family's 1533-position model. The record is from RNAcentral.
CCUACGGGAGGCUGCAGUGGGGAAUCUUGGACAAUGGGCGCAAGCCUGAUCCAGCCAUGCCGCAUGAGUGAAGAAGGCCUUCGGGUUGUAAAGCUCUUUUACCAGGGACGAUAAUGACGGUACCUGGAGAAUAAGCCCCGGCAAACUUCGUGCCAGCAGCCGCGGUAAUACGAAGGGGGCUAGCGUUGUUCGGAAUUACUGGGCGUAAAGCGCACGUAGGCGGACUGUUAAGUCGGGGGUGAAAUCCCGGGGCUCAACCCCGGAACUGCCUUCGAUACUGGCGGUCUCGAGUCCGGAAGAGGUUAGUGGAAUUCCCAGUGUAGAGGUGAAAUUCGUAGAUAUUGGGAAGAACACCAGUGGCGAAGGCGGCUAACUGGUCCGGUACUGACGCUGAGGUGCGAAAGCGUGGGGAGCAAACAGGAUUAGAUACCCCAGUAGUC